RNAcentral lists this ribosomal RNA (407 nucleotides) under uncultured bacterium. RNAcentral describes it as "partial 16S ribosomal RNA". It matches the Rfam family "Bacterial small subunit ribosomal RNA", at positions 30 to 526 of the family's 1533-position model. The record is from RNAcentral.
AUUGAACGCUGGCGGCAGGCCUAACACAUGCAAGUCGAGCGGAGCGGCGGACGGGUGAGUAAUGCCUAGGAAUCUGCCUGUUAGUGGGGGAUAACGUCCGGAAAUGGGAGCUAAUACCGCAUCCUUUCAGAUGAGCUUAGGUCGGCUUAGCUAGUUGGUGGGGUAAAGGCCUACCAAGGCGACGAUCCGUAGCUGGUCUGAGAGGAUGAUCAGUCACACUGGGACGUAGACACGGCCCAGACUCCGACGGGAGGCAGCAGUGGGGAAUAUUGGGCAAUGGGCGCAAGCCUGAUCCAGCCAUACCGCGUGAGUGAAGAAGGCCUUCGGGUUGUAAAGCCCUUUUGUUGGGAAAGCGGUACCCAAAGAAUAAGCCCCGGCUAACUUCGUGCCAGCAGCCGCGGUAAUUC